GACGAACGCUGGCGGCGUGCUUAACACAUGCAAGUCGAACGGAAAGGCCCUGCUUUUGUGGGGUGCUCGAGUGGCGAACGGGUGAGUAACACGUGAGUAACCUGCCCUUGACUUUGGGAUAACUUCAGGAAACUGGGGCUAAUACCGGAUAGGAGCUCCUGCUGCAUGGUGGGGGUUGGAAAGUUUCGGCGGUUGGGGAUGGACUCGCGGCUUAUCAGCUUGUUGGUGGGGUAGUGGCUUACCAAGGCUUUGACGGGUAGCCGGCCUGAGAGGGUGACCGGCCACAUUGGGACUGCGAUACGGCCCAGACUCCUACGGGAGGCAGCAGUGGGGAAUAUUGCACUAUGGGCGGAAGCCUGAUGCAGCAACGCCGCGUGCGGGAUGACGGCCUUCGGGUUGUAAACCGCUUUCGCCUGUGACGAAGCGUGAGUGACGGUAAUGGGUAAAGAAGCACCGGCUAACUACGUG
RNAcentral lists this ribosomal RNA (468 nucleotides) under uncultured bacterium. RNAcentral describes it as "partial 16S ribosomal RNA". It matches the Rfam family "Bacterial small subunit ribosomal RNA", at positions 28 to 507 of the family's 1533-position model. The record is from RNAcentral.